UCGGGAAUUUUGGGCAAUGGGCGAAAGCCUGACCCAGCAACGCCGCGUGAAGGAUGAAGUAUUUCGGUAUGUAAACUUCGAAAGAAUAGGAAGAAUAAAUGACGGUACUAUUUAUAAGGUCCGGCUAACUACGUGCCAGCAGCCGCGGUAAUACGUAGGGACCAAGCGUUGUUCGGAUUUACUGGGCGUAAAGGGCGCGUAGGCGGCAAUUCAAGUCAUCUGUGAAAUCUCCGGGCUUAACUCGGAACGGUCAGAUGAUACUGCUUUGCUAGAGUGCAGAAGGGGCAAUCGGAAUUCUUGGUGUAGCGGUGAAAUGCGUAGAUAUCGGGAGGAACACCUGUGGCGAAGGCGGCCACCUGGUUGGAUACUGACGCUGAGACGCGAAAGCGUGGGGAGCAAACAGGAUUAGAUACCCCAGUAGUCCCUGAGCGGGCUGGCAAGGCG
This 444-nucleotide ribosomal RNA is filed under the name uncultured bacterium. RNAcentral's name for it is "bacterial SSU rRNA". It matches the Rfam family "Bacterial small subunit ribosomal RNA", at positions 355 to 822 of the family's 1533-position model. The record is from RNAcentral.